Molecule: small nuclear RNA, 285 nt
Filed under: Carlito syrichta (Philippine tarsier)
Lineage: Eukaryota; Metazoa; Chordata; Mammalia; Primates; Tarsiidae
Description: 7SK RNA (ENSTSYG00000024962.2)
Rfam family: 7SK RNA
About the family: 7SK was discovered as an abundant small nuclear RNA in the mid-70s but a possible function has only recently been suggested. Two independent studies have found that 7SK RNA binds the CDK9/cyclin T complex (known as elongation factor P-TEFb).
Source: Rfam by way of RNAcentral
GAAUAUGAAGGAAAACUGGCUGUGACAUCUGUCAACACAUUGACUUCCAGGGUUGAUACAGAUGGUCUGAGCCGAUCCCUGGUCUCCCUUACCACUUCAUUUGUGUCCCUUCCAGAGCUACGUGCUCAUUCAAAUCAAAUGACCUUCUGAAAAGGACCAGUCAUUAAGGGUAUUUAGAAGGUACAUUCCCUUUGUAUAAUUUUCAGGCAUAUUCAUACUUUAUUCAAAGGUACAUAAAUCUGUAGAAAAAAUAGACACAUUUUGGUUGGGUGAGUUCUUUUUCUG